CCCUUAGAUGUUCUGGGCCGCACACGCGCUACACUGAAGGAGGCAGCGUGUACUCCUGGAUCGAAAGAUUUGGGUAACCCGCGAAUCUCCUUCGUGCAAGGGAUUGAGGUUUGCAAUUAUCCUUCAUGAACGAGGAAUUCCCAGUAAGUGCAAGUCAUAAGCUUGCGCUGACUACGUCCCUGCCCUUUGUACACACCGCCCGUCGCUACUACCGAUUGAAUGAUUUAGUGAGGACUUCGGACUGGGACCGAUGCGGCUUUCGGGCUGCGUCGGUAUUCUGGAAAGAUGUCCAAACUGUAUCAUUUAGAGGAAGUAAAANUCGUANCA
RNAcentral lists this ribosomal RNA (327 nucleotides) under uncultured eukaryote. RNAcentral describes it as "partial 18S ribosomal RNA". It matches the Rfam family "Eukaryotic small subunit ribosomal RNA", at positions 1470 to 1796 of the family's 1831-position model. The record is from RNAcentral.